RNAcentral lists this ribosomal RNA (426 nucleotides) under Triticum aestivum (bread wheat). RNAcentral's name for it is "partial small subunit ribosomal RNA". The record is from RNAcentral. Lineage: Eukaryota; Viridiplantae; Streptophyta; Magnoliopsida; Poales; Poaceae.
AUGCCGCUCUCCGAGGAUGAGGUGAGCCUCGGCGAUGAAGAAUUUAUCGUGCCUGAGGAUCCCGUAGAGCAGGAGCGUUUUAAGCGCCGGCUUAUAGCCACGACAAAGAGCCUGAAGAAGAAGCAGCAGCAGCUUCAAGCUAAUCAAGACCUGCUCACUGAUAGAUGGAUUGAGGUCCUGUCAGCCGAGGAAUGCGGACUUGAACGCCCAACCAAAAGUUACCCGAAGUGCAAAUUGCUACCUCAAUUCGAUGACGAGGCGCUGGAGCCAGCACUACAAGUGCAUAAUGCGGCUCACCGACCACCACGUGGCCGAGAUAAAAUGACAAUUCUGCCCGAACACCAGCCGGCACUGCGUCACCGAACAAAUAGAAAUACAACAACUUGGGUAUACACACAUGACCUGCGGUAUGACUUGGAAAACUGA